Molecule: long non-coding RNA, 1973 nt
Organism: Dalotia coriaria
Lineage: Eukaryota; Metazoa; Arthropoda; Insecta; Coleoptera; Staphylinidae
Exons: 3
Source: RefSeq, a predicted model, not a curated record
UGCGCUGCACGCAUUCCGCCAUAUUGUUUACUCUCAUCGCUUUCAUCCCGUACAUCCCGUACACGAAGUAGGUAUAUAUCUAUACUUCGUGAUCCCGUAGGUCAGUCAGUCCGUAAAUCGAGUGUAGUGUGUGCGUACCUGGCGUAAAACAAUACUUUCCAUUAUAUCAAAUUCAAGAAGUGCAGAGAAAUUAGUCCAGCAUAAAAGUAAUUUUGAGCAUUUUGUGUUAAAUUCACGUCAGUUGAUGUGUCCCCCUUGUCCAUUUCCAGUCGUCUGCAUGCUCACUGCGAUAAAAGAAAUUGGAGCUUAAGGAACUCCUUGAUGCAAUACUACGGUGGAACAUACACUGGAGAAUCGCCUGACAUUCGAUGUGAUGUCAUCUCACUGGCUUUGCUACGACAUCAACCCCAAGGGACACCAAGUGGACUAUUGCUUGAAGACCACCUUAGUUUCAACGGGAUUCGAUACCUCUAUAAUUUGUUGCUCGUCUUGCAAUCAUUUGCGCCCACACAUCCUUUUUCAAACCAGUACAAAUAAUGCGCACAUGGAAGGGUACAAGAGAAACUUCCCGAUUUUUAAACCACGAACGCAUUCUUUUAGUUCACUUAUAAUUAGAAUUGUAUAUAUUUAGGGACCUUUGACAAUCAAUUUGAUGAAUGCUUGUGGAAUAAUAUGCAAUGUAAACUCUUUAUAACGAUACUUAUAAAGAUUAGCUGAUUUAAGGACGGAUUUUACCCAUACAAUAGAUAGAAUAAACCUUCUUGUACAUAUUUUUACGUCAUUAUAAAAAAGGUUAUCAAGAGUUUACAUUUUAUUACACAUUUAAACGCCUCACAUUCCUGGUCGUGUUUAUAGGACGAGUUUGCGUUUUAUUUGUUGGUAAUGCGGAUAAGGGUAUUUGCCGCACUGUUGUUGUCUAGCUUUAACUCUCGAAGGGGGCGUUCCUAGGGAUGUUAAAUUAAAUUCUCCGUCGUGUUGUAUUAGUUUGUUGCAGGAGCGACGCCUGCAACAUUGGUAAAUUUGAAAAUUGGGUGGUUAAGUGGAAUUUUCACAUGAAGAGUGAAAUUGUUGGAGUUUUUUCGGAAUAGCUUGCGAGGGAGGCGGGAAAUUUCCGCGCGGUCUCUAGUGAUGUCAAAUUAAAUUCUCCGUGGGGUUGUAUUAGUUUGUCAUAGAAGUUGCGUUUGCAACAUAUCUAACGUCGAAAAUUAGGUGGUUAAGUUGGAUUUUCACAUGUGGGGGAAAAUUGUUGGGGUUUUUGGAUAUAGCUUGCGAAGGGAGCGACCUAGAAUUUUCAACACGGUAUCUGUUAGAGAAGCUUCAACAACAGUGCGCGUAAUCCUAGAUUUGUGUACGUGCGUGUCAUACUCUGGAGCACAUUUCCUUGAGUGCUAUUUGUGAUAUGUAAUUAUGUAUGUAUAACUUGAGAACUCCUUUUAUUGUGUAUAUGACGUUACUGUAAGAAUAUUUGGGUUGUGGUGCUAAUGUUGUGCAACAUUUUUAACUUAUAAAUGUAUUUUCACUGAGGGCGUUUUUAGACGAAACAAUUGUAGAUCCUUUAAUCAAAUCCAGUGCAAAUAGACUAAAAACGCUCUCAGUAAAAAUACAUUUAUGAUUUUACUGUAUUGUCUUAUGUAUUAAUGUGUACAUACAUUUUGUUGUACUGUCCUCGUAGAAUUCGUUUUUAUAUGUAAAUGUUUUGUAUUGUAGUGUAGUUGUUUGUGUUUUAAUGUUUGCUUGCACCUUGUGUUGUGUGUUUUAAUUAGUAUAAAUAAACAACGUUGAUACCUGUUGAAGAAGUUUAGGAGCACUUGUGCCAAGGAGUCUACCGUUUCCAUCGCAGAAAUGUUACUGAUGUGCGUCUUACAAGGCAAGUUUUACUAUCUGGAGAUUUAAGAACUGUCUAUGAUUUUCAAUUUAAAUAAAUGUAUGUAGUUUUUAAUGUUGCUAAUAAAACAUAAUGUAAUACUAUAUAA